GCCAUAUACUUGUUGAUCAUCGAGCGUCUGUAGGCAAGGAGUUAUUAUCUCUGAAGGUACGUGCAGUUAUAUAGUUUGAAUACUGUACAGUUUAAAGAUUGAUUUUUAACUGAUACUGUUCCCGUUUAGCUAUCUCUUAGUCUUCCCGUUCUCACGGUACGUAUGAUUAAAGCAAAGGCACUUAAGUGGCUGAAUAGAUGCCGAAUAAACAUAUGCAUUUAAUACUGGCGGGUGGUCAAGACAUGUCCAAAGGCUGAAUUACGUUAAAUGAAUGUUAGUUUAGGGAGAAUUUGGUGAAGUUUUCUACUUUAGAAGGAUAUAAAGCAAUAUUUAGUGAUACCAAAGGCAAACGUACUUUAACUUGAGCAUGUUUGCACAUGCUGUUGCGCAAUAUAACUUACGACAGACAUCGUAGUUUAGCAAGCAAGCUAGCAAUUAAUGCAUAACAGCGGGUUUAAAUAUUAGGUGGGGCUUUAAAGUAAACUAGAUGUUUUAAAACAUACGAAAAUGCGAGCAUAAAAGAUUAUAAUAGUACAAUUUACAGUUUACCCUUUGGUACUUAAGUAUUUAGCUGUAUAAUAUUGUAUUUCAACUGGCAUUUGAUUUGUCGGAAGAUUCGAAUACGAAAUCGUGAGACCGUAAGUUAAAGAUUGUAUUUACGAGCUCAGAAUAAUCUGUGGUGAAAUUUAGGUUGAUUCCAACCGGGGAGAUUUCGCAACUCCGCCGAAAGAGAUUUAAUACCGAGCCUAUACGUAUUACGUAAGAUUAUUUAGCAUGUAGAUUGUAGGAAUGAUGUAGAAGCCGAAGGUAAAGCUGCCAACAAAGGCAGAAAAGCGAUAAUAUAUAUCAACAAUAUUCCAAUGAAAAUAUAUCAAACAAACUAUAUAUAUAGCUUUAUUUUAACUAUGGCUAAUAUCAAAAAAAGUUGGACUGAAAAAAUUUUGAACCUUGCACUAAAAGAACGUACCAGACACGCAGCCUCUUAACGAAUUCCGAUUAAAACUUGCAAGAGCGUGCAUGUUGUACUUUGAUCUAUUUAAUGCUUCGCUGAAUGUCUCCAUAUUAUCUGAUAAUAUAUUCAUCCCCCUAAUAUUGCGUAGGAAGAGUUUAGCAAAACAGUAAACAUACGAGCGAAUUGUAAAGAAAGCCACAAAUAGCCGCUGUUUAUAAUAUAAAAGUCGAUGUGGAAAUAUGAAACCGCGAACGACUCAUAUUACUAUGUAUACAGUCAAGUUGCAAAAGUUGCCGCUUGUUAAUAACUCCUUAAUUAAAGAACUAGCUUUUAACCCUGGCUGAUUUUGAUCAUGGCCUGCAAACAAAUUAACGUUUAUACUUUAUAGUAAUAUGACUAAUGAGUAGUUGUUUGCGGUUAAAUUGUACAAGAACCUAGGUGUCAUCACUCAUCAGAUUUAAUAUAAUAUUCCAAUAUAGAAUAUAGGGAAUAGGGAAUAUAUAAAUUUCAAGAAGGCUGUAAAUGAAUCGGCCUGCGUUGCAGGCGGUAAUAUUUAGAAUUCCCAGUUCAGCCUAGCCUUCUCCGCAAUUCGAGGGAAAACCCCACCGAUAAUUUUUUCGUGAUUAGUUUUUAAAAUUUUUUUAUUUUUUCUAUUUCCCUCAGUACAUGUAAUUUUCGUUUAUUACUUCACGCAUUCUGGUACCCAGAGCCCUUCUUACGCGCGGUGCGACGAGGGGCUCUGGCCAAAUCCAAACUUUUGAGUUCGCCCCUCUCGGUACGUCCGGGGUUUACUUUUGAAUACUAAGCUUGAAUAUGUGAGAAGUGAGUUAUAAUGAGCCAUUAAAACGAUGAAUAAUAUCACGACAGUCGGCAGUAUGUGUUUUAAUCGUCGCUCUAUAUAACUAAUGUUGAAUAUUAUAAUGGACUAUUAUUUGCAAUUUACUAUCUUCAAAUAGAAUAAAAUCUAAAAAUUAAAAACCUAGAAACCUAAAAAUAUAAAACCUAAAAAUCAAGAACCUUAAAAUCAAGAACCUGAAAAUCAAAAACCUGAAAAUCAAGAACCUGAAAAUCACGAAACUGAAAAUCACGAACCGAAAAAUCACAAACCGAAAAAUGUAAAAGUGAAAACGUACUUAGGUGUCGCGUCUGGGCUUCCGUAACUUUGUCACAACGUUUAUACAGCUCGAACGGACAAACCGAGGCCACUUUUGCAUAUUUUUUAUGUUUUCAAACUAUUUAACAGUUAUUCUACGGAACUCGAGUCGAAUAUGAGCUGAUAGCCGAUGAGGCGCGUAUAGCGCCGAAUCGGCUAUCGCUCAUAUUCGACGAGAGUGAGCCAAGAACAACACAUAGCGCCUGGGUACGAGGCUGCUAAUAUCCUGCUAGUAGAGAACCAAUCAGAUUGCAGAAUACCUCAUAUCCAGACCUUGUGUAUAUAAUAAACCCAAUUAUUAUACAUUGUAGUUGGUAAAAGCAAUUUGAUUGGCUAAGAGCUUAAAAUAGGCAAAAAGCUCAAAUAGGCAAACCGAAGCCGUUUUUGCGAAUUUUUAAUGUUUUCAAACUAAUUUCCCCUGCCAUCAUGCAUGGCUCCUAAAAUUAAAACAAUGGAAAAGAUGAAAAAUAUAGAUUUUAAUUUUGAAAAUCAAGUAAUUUUAAUUUUAAUAUUAAUUUUGAAAUCUAAUUUUAAUUUUGAAAAUAAUUUUGAUUUUCAAAAUUAAAAUCUAUAUUUUUUUAUCUUUUCCAUUGUUUUAAUUUUAGGAGCCCAUGCAUGAUGGCAGGAGGAAAUUAGUUUGAAAACAUUAAAAAUACGCAAAAACGGCUUCGGUUUGCCUAUUUGAGCUGUAAGAUAAUAUUACGAACAACAAUAGUUAACGAAUAGCGAUAUCGAAGUCUCACCGGUUUGCCGGUAAUAAAUUUGGUAAAAAAAACUGACGCUGAACCAAGUUUGCGUGCAUAUACAAUGCAGUACGCUACGCUAACGCUGCGUGCAUUUUGAUGCCCUUCAGUUGCGUACAUAUAUACUAAAUGGAGGACCCCCAUAUCGAUUCUUUAGACAUGGUCAUCAUAGGACGGUGGGAGACUCCUUUAGGAGUGGGAAGGAUAUAAAUAAUGAAAUGUUCAGAUGAUUCCUAGUUUCUUUCUAGCCAAACGGUGUGCUUUCAGAAAGUCUAUGAACGUUACUUCACAUAAAAACUGCAUGGCGUUUAAAACACACUAAAUCUUUACAUCUAGCGACGACUACAUACGUAAUGUUUUUCGUCUGAUCAUCCUUGCUAUAUAUGUAAGGUUCAGCACAAUUCUUAUCGUCUUUAAAACACGGAUAAGCAAGCACUUGCAAAGUUAUAAAACCAACGUUCAAACCUUUUGUCUUCACGAAUAUCAAUGAAUAAGCAAUGCAUCUCAAUAACAAAUAAAAAGAGUACCAGUUAGGCCCCCGCCCGCUGUUGCGGAUUACUUGUCUUUAAACAACGUUUAAUUAUUGUUAAAAAUCUUCAUAUUGACAUUUAGGAACAUUGCCAAGAUGAUACUAGAACUAAUAAUAUGGACACUCGUUAUUGCAUCGACCAUUUUCUUGUUGUUAUGGAGACUGAUCACGCCACCAAAAGUUAAGAUAGUAAGAAAAGCUCCUGAAAACGAAGACUUGUACGCUAAGAGUCGUUUUAUUCCUUCGAAAGUCCCAAACAAUGUUGAUGUAAUUAUCAUUGGUUCCGGUAUGGGUGGGGGAACGGCCGCAUCAAUCCUGAGUAAAUAUGGCAAGAAAGUUGUUGUGUUGGAACAUCAUGAUAAGUUAGGAGGAUGUACGCACACAUUCUCUUGGUCCCGACAGAACAUGUAUGAGGAAGGACACACUACUUGUGAAUUCGAUACAGGUU
This 3825-nucleotide long non-coding RNA is filed under the name Paramuricea clavata. The record is from RNAcentral. Lineage: Eukaryota; Metazoa; Cnidaria; Anthozoa; Malacalcyonacea; Plexauridae.